Molecule: ribosomal RNA, 450 nt
Filed under: Geophilus carpophagus
Lineage: Eukaryota; Metazoa; Arthropoda; Chilopoda; Geophilomorpha; Geophilidae
Description: partial large subunit ribosomal RNA
Rfam family: Bacterial large subunit ribosomal RNA
Source: RNAcentral
GGUUUGUUGUUGUUUAUGACAAAUUUGGCCUGCUCAGUGUUUAUAUAAAUAGCCGCGGUAACUUGACUGUGCAAAGGUAGCAUAAUCAUUAGUCUUUUAAUUGGGGGCUGGAAUGAAGGGUUUGACGGGGAAAUACUGUCUUAUGUUUGGUUAUUUUUAGAAUUUUAGUUUGCUGUGAGGGCGCGGUGAUGAUUUUAUUUGACGAGAAGACCCCGUAAAGCUUUAUUCUUAUUUUUUGUUUUAGGUUAAGCAGAAUUUUGUUGGGGCAACAGAUUUGAUUAUUGAAUGGUUCUUAUUUGUUAAAUGUUUUUUUAGCUUUUUGUUUGAUCCUUUAUUUUGGGAUAUUGAGAUAAGCUACUUUGGGGAUAACAGCAUAAUUAUUUUGGAGAGUACUUAUUGAUAAAGUAGUUUGUGACCUCGAUGUUGAAUUAAGAUUCCUGGUGGCUGUAG